UGUGACCCUUAGUAGGAGGUAUGUCUCUACAUCACACAGUGGGAGCCUGAAUCUAGAGAUGCCUGGACAUUCUUUCUCGCCUUCUACACAGCUUGGACACAGAGAUCAUCCUGAUGUUCACAGAUACAGUGUGGAGACUGUACAGUGGUAUCCUCAUGACACUGGCAUGUUCACAUCAAGCUCAUUUGAUAAAACUCUGAAAGUAUGGGAUACAAAUACAUUACAAGUCACAGACAAGAAAUAUUAGCAGUUUCCUGGUCUCCACGUUAUGACUAUAUCUUGGCAACAGCAAGUGCUGACAGUAGAGUAAAAUUAUGGGAUGUGAGAAGAGCAUCAGGAUGUUUGAUUACUCUUGAUCAACAUAAUGGGAAAAAGUCACAAGCUGUUGAAUCAGCAAACACUGCUCAUAAUGGGAAAGUUAAUGGCUUAUGUUUUACAAGUGAUGGACUUCACCUCCUCACUGUUGGUACA
Molecule: long non-coding RNA, 471 nt
Filed under: Homo sapiens (human)
Lineage: Eukaryota; Metazoa; Chordata; Mammalia; Primates; Hominidae
Description: non-protein coding lnc-ELOVL7-1:3
Source: RNAcentral